Molecule: ribosomal RNA, 440 nt
Filed under: uncultured bacterium
Lineage: Bacteria
Description: partial 16S ribosomal RNA
Rfam family: Bacterial small subunit ribosomal RNA
Source: RNAcentral
CCUACGGGAGGCAGCAGUGGGGAAUAUUGCACAAUGGGGGAAACCCUGAUGCAGCGACGCCGCGUGAGGGAAGAAGGAAUUCGGUAUGUAAAGCUCUAUCUGCAGGGAAGUAAAUGACGGUACCUGAGUAAGAAGCCCGGGCUAACUACGUGACAGAAGCCGCGGUAAUAUGGCGGGGGCAAGCGUUAUCCGGAUUUACUGGGGGUAAAGGGAGCGUAGGCGGCAGUGUAAGUCUGGAGUGAAAGGCCGGGGCUCAACCCCGGGACUGCUGUGGAAACUGUCCGGCUGGAGUGCAGGAGAGGUAAGUGGAAUUCCUAGUGUAGCGGUGAAAUGCGUAGAUAUUAGGAGGAACACCAGUGGCGAAGGCGGCUUACUGGACUGUAACUGACGUUGAGGCUCGAAAGCGUGGGGAGCAAACAGGAUUAGAUACCCUAGUAGUC